This 497-nucleotide ribosomal RNA is filed under the name uncultured bacterium. RNAcentral's name for it is "partial 16S ribosomal RNA". It matches the Rfam family "Bacterial small subunit ribosomal RNA", at positions 28 to 507 of the family's 1533-position model. The record is from RNAcentral.
GAUGAACGCUGGCGGCGUGCCUAAUACAUGCAAGUCGAGCGAACAGAUAAGGAGCUUGCUCCUUUGACGUUAGCGGCGGACGGGUGAGUAACACGUGGGUAACCUACCUAUAAGACUGGGAUAACUUCGGGAAACCGGAGCUAAUACCGGAUAACAUUUGGAACCGCAUGGUUCUAAAGUGAAAGAUGGUUUUGCUAUCACUUAUAGAUGGACCCGCGCCGUAUUAGCUAGUUGGUAAGGUAACGGCUUACCAAGGCAACGAUACGUAGCCGACCUGAGAGGGUGAUCGGCCACACUGGAACUGAGACACGGUCCAGACUCCUACGGGAGGCAGCAGUAGGGAAUCUUCCGCAAUGGGCGAAAGCCUGACGGAGCAACGCCGCGUGAGUGAUGAAGGGUUUCGGCUCGUAAAACUCCGUUAUUAGGGAAGAACAAAUGUGUAAGUAACUGUGCACGUCUUGACGGUACCUAAUCAGAAAGCCACGGCUAACUACGUG